UACGAAGGGGGCUAGCGUUGCUCGGAAUUAUUGGGCGUAAAGCGCACGUAGGCGGUUCGUUAAGUCGGAUGUGAAAGCCCUCGGCUCAACUGAGGAAGUGCACCCGAAACUGGCGAGCUUGAGUACGAAAGAGGAUCGCGGAAUUCCCGGUGUAGAGGUGAAAUUCGUAGAUAUCGGGAGGAACACCGGUGGCGAAGGCGGCGAUCUGGGUCGAUACUGACGCUGAGGUGGCGAAAGCGUGGGGAGCAAACAGG
This 254-nucleotide ribosomal RNA is filed under the name uncultured bacterium. Its description in RNAcentral is "partial 16S ribosomal RNA". It matches the Rfam family "Bacterial small subunit ribosomal RNA", at positions 524 to 776 of the family's 1533-position model. The record is from RNAcentral.